UAUGUGAUCGUCUCUCGCAUAUCAAUAAGCGGAGGAAAAGAAACUAACAAGGAUUCCCCUAGUAACGGCGAGUGAAGCGGGAAGAGCUCAAAUUUGAAAUCUUAAAGGGUUUCCCUUUACGAAUUGUAGUUUAAAGAAGUGUUUUCUGUUGAGGUUUUGGUAAAAGUUCUUUGGAAUAGGACAUCAUAGAGGGUGAGAAUCCCGUAUUUGACCUUUACUUUCAACUUUGUGAUACACUUUCAAAGAGUCGGAUUGUUUGGGAAUGCAGUCCAAAAUGGGUGGUAAAUUUCAUCUAAAGCUAAAUAUUGGCGAGAGACCGAUAGCGAACAAGUACCGUGAGGGAAAGAUGAAAAGAACUUUGAAAAGAGAGUUAAACAGUACGUGAAAUUGUCAAAAGGGAAGCGUUUGACACCAGUGUUGUUUUUCUGAAAAUCAAUUAAAGAACUGUUUAUGCUAAGCUGUUUAGACUUUAUCAGCUAUCUGUUUAGUUUUGAGCUUUUCUUUAAUGCACUUUUCAGUUAACAAGUCAACAUCAAUUUCUUUUGCUGUAAAAAAGCUUGAGGAAGGUGGCUUGAGAUUCGUCUUAAGUGUUUAUAGCCUCUUGCCUAUGCAGUCGGAGAGAUUGAGGUCUGCAGCGUAGAUCCUUCGGGGCUAAAUGCAUUUGUGCUAAGUUAUAGCAUUUUAUAGACAACUUGUUGACUAUGAUUUGUCUUGUAGCUUACUCGCUUAUGUUAUUUUACCUACGCUUAGGAUGUUGAUAUGCAUGACUGAUAU
Molecule: ribosomal RNA, 774 nt
Filed under: uncultured Neocallimastigales
Lineage: Eukaryota; Fungi; Neocallimastigomycota; Neocallimastigomycetes; Neocallimastigales
Description: partial large subunit ribosomal RNA
Rfam family: Eukaryotic large subunit ribosomal RNA
Source: RNAcentral